RNAcentral lists this ribosomal RNA (294 nucleotides) under Pseudomonas sp. AaMG7. RNAcentral describes it as "partial 16S ribosomal RNA". It matches the Rfam family "Bacterial small subunit ribosomal RNA", at positions 48 to 344 of the family's 1533-position model. Lineage: Bacteria; Pseudomonadati; Pseudomonadota; Gammaproteobacteria; Pseudomonadales; Pseudomonadaceae. The record is from RNAcentral.
CUAACACAUGCAAGUCGAGCGGUAGAGAGAAGCUUGCUUCUCUUGAGAGCGGCGGACGGGUGAGUAAUGCCUAGGAAUCUGCCUGGUAGUGGGGGAUAACGUUCGGAAACGGACGCUAAUACCGCAUACGUCCUACGGGAGAAAGCAGGGGACCUUCGGGCCUUGCGCUAUCAGAUGAGCCUAGGUCGGAUUAGCUAGUUGGUGGGGUAAUGGCUCACCAAGGCGACGAUCCGUAACUGGUCUGAGAGGAUGAUCAGUCACACUGGAACUGAGACACGGUCCAGACUCCUACGG